This 497-nucleotide ribosomal RNA is filed under the name uncultured bacterium. RNAcentral's name for it is "partial 16S ribosomal RNA". It matches the Rfam family "Bacterial small subunit ribosomal RNA", at positions 28 to 507 of the family's 1533-position model. The record is from RNAcentral.
GAUGAACGCUGGCGGCGUGCCUAAUACAUGCAAGUCGAGCGAACGGACGAGAAGCUUGCUUCUCUGAUGUUAGCGGCGGACGGGUGAGUAACACGUGGAUAACCUACCUAUAAGACUGGGAUAACUUCGGGAAACCGUAGCUAAUACCGGAUAAUAUUUUGAACCGCAUGGUUCAAAAGUGAAAGACGGUCUUGCUGUCACUUAUAGAUGGAUCCGCGCUGCAUUAGCUAGUUGGUAAGGUAACGGCUUACCAAGGCAACGAUGCAUAGCCGACCUGAGAGGGUGACCGGCCCCCCUCGAACUGGGCCUCGGCCCGGACCCCUGCGGCAGGCAGCGGCAGUGAAUCUUCCGCAGUGCGCGCAGACUUGCCGCAGCACCGCCGCAUGAGUCUUUAGGGUCCCCCGAUCGUAACACUCUCUUAUUAGUCCAGACCCUAUGUGUACGUGCCUGUGCCCAUCUUGCCGGUCCCUAGUCAGAAAGCCACGGCUACCUACGUG